This 72-nucleotide transfer RNA is filed under the name Parcubacteria bacterium DG_74_2. Its description in RNAcentral is "tRNA-Ile". It matches the Rfam family "tRNA". From Rfam's summary of the family: Transfer RNA (tRNA) molecules are approximately 80 nucleotides in length. Their secondary structure includes four short double-helical elements and three loops (D, anti-codon, and T loops). Further hydrogen bonds mediate the characteristic L-shaped molecular structure. tRNAs have two regions of fundamental functional importance: the anti-codon, which is responsible for specific mRNA codon recognition, and the 3' end, to which the tRNAs corresponding amino acid is attached (by aminoacyl-tRNA synthetases). tRNAs cope with the degeneracy of the genetic code in two manners: having more than one tRNA (with a specific anti-codon) for a particular amino acid; and 'wobble' base-pairing, i.e. permitting non-standard base-pairing at the 3rd anti-codon position. Lineage: Bacteria; Candidatus Parcubacteria. The record is from RNAcentral.
GCGCGUGUAGCUCAGUGGGAGAGCGGUUGUCUUAUAAACAACAGGUCCCAGGUUCGAUCCCUGGCACGCGCA